UAACCUGGAAUCCUGUUACAAUGUGGAAUCUGCUUCAGGGGGUCUGGAUUCUGCAUUUCUAACAAGUUCCUAGGUGACUGC
Molecule: microRNA precursor, 81 nt
Filed under: Dasypus novemcinctus (nine-banded armadillo)
Lineage: Eukaryota; Metazoa; Chordata; Mammalia; Cingulata; Dasypodidae
Description: miRNA (ENSDNOG00000026595.1)
Source: RNAcentral